AAGUCUAACCUGCCCAAUGAGUAGUUGAAUGGCCGCAGUAUUUUGACUGNGCAAAGGUAGCAUAAUCAUUAGUUUCUUAAUUAGGAACUGGAAUGAAAGGUUGGACGAGAAAAUAACUGUCUCUUUAUAAAUUAGUUAGAAUUUUAUUAUUAAGUUAAAAAGCUUAAAUAUUUUUAAAAGACGAGAAGACCCUAUAGAGUUUUAUAUAAUUAUUUUUAGUAAUUAAAAUUGUAUAGUUUAAAUUUUACUAAUGAUUAUAUUUGAUUGGGGUGAUUAAAAAAUUUAUUAAACUUUUUUUUUAUGCAAACAUUGAUUUAUGAUUUAUUGAUCCAUUAAUAUUAUGAUUAUAAGAUUAAAUUACCUUAGGGAUAACAGCGUAAUUUCUUUUUAGAGUUCUAAUCGAUAAAGAAGUUUGCGACCUCGAUGUUGGAUUAAAAUUUAAUUUUGGUGUAGAAGCUAAAAAAUUAGGUCUGUUCGACCUUUAAAAUUUUACAUGAUCUGAGUUUAAACCGGUGUGAGCCAGGUUGGUUUCUAUCUUUAAAUAAUUUUAAUAUUUUAGUACGAAAGGACCAAAUAUCAUUAAAAUUUAU
This 590-nucleotide ribosomal RNA is filed under the name Atheta subtilis. RNAcentral's name for it is "partial 16S ribosomal RNA". It matches the Rfam family "Bacterial large subunit ribosomal RNA", at positions 1850 to 2712 of the family's 2925-position model. Lineage: Eukaryota; Metazoa; Arthropoda; Insecta; Coleoptera; Staphylinidae. The record is from RNAcentral.